GAUGAACGCUAGCGGGAGGCUUAACACAUGCAAGUCGAGGGGUAAAUGGCAGCAAUGCUAUGAGACCGGCGGACGGGUGCGUAACGCGUGAGCAACAUGCCCUAUACAGGGGGAUAAUCCAGGGAAACUUGGUCUAAUAUCCCAUAGUAUUUAGAGGAGGCAUCUUCUAUAAAUUAAAGCUUCGGUGGUAUAGGAUUGGCUCGCGUGACAUUAGCUAGAUGGUGAGGUAACGGCUCACCAUGGCAAUGAUGUCUAGGGGUUCUGAGAGGAAGGCCCCCCACACUGGGACUGAGACACGGCCCAGACUCCUACGGGAGGCAGCAGUGAGGAAUAUUGGACAAUGGAUGGAAAUCUGAUCCAGCCAUGCCGCGUGCAGGAAGACAGCCCUAUGGGUUGUAAACUGCUUUUAUAUGGGAGCAAUAAGGUCUACGUGUAGACUGAUGAGAGUACCAUAUGAAUAAGCAUCGG
RNAcentral lists this ribosomal RNA (468 nucleotides) under uncultured bacterium. Its description in RNAcentral is "bacterial SSU rRNA". It matches the Rfam family "Bacterial small subunit ribosomal RNA", at positions 28 to 496 of the family's 1533-position model. The record is from RNAcentral.